RNAcentral lists this ribosomal RNA (450 nucleotides) under uncultured Gammaproteobacteria bacterium. Its description in RNAcentral is "bacterial SSU rRNA". It matches the Rfam family "Bacterial small subunit ribosomal RNA", at positions 42 to 484 of the family's 1533-position model. Lineage: Bacteria; Pseudomonadati; Pseudomonadota; Gammaproteobacteria. The record is from RNAcentral.
UCAGGCCUAACACAUGCAAGUCGAGCGGUAACAGGGGUAGCUUGCUACCCGCUGACGAGCGGCGGACGGGUGAGUAAUGCUUAGGAAUCUGCCUGGUAGAGGGGGAUAGCCCGGGGAAACCCGGAUUAAUACCGCAUACGCCCUACGGGGGAAAGCAGGGGAUCUUCGGACCUUGCGCUAUUAGAUGAGCCUAAGUCGGAUUAGCUAGUUGGUGGGGUAAAGGCCUACCAAGGCGACGAUCCGUAGCUGGUCUGAGAGGAUGAUCAGCCACAUCGGGACUGAGACACGGCCCGAACUCCUACGGGAGGCAGCAGUGGGGAAUAUUGGACAAUGGGGGAAACCCUGAUCCAGCCAUGCCGCGUGUGUGAAGAAGGCUCUCGGGUUGUAAAGCACUUUCAGUGAGGAGGAAGGCCUUGUCGCUAAUAUCGGCAAGGAAGACGUUACUCACAG